Molecule: long non-coding RNA, 795 nt
Filed under: Phoenix dactylifera (date palm)
Lineage: Eukaryota; Viridiplantae; Streptophyta; Magnoliopsida; Arecales; Arecaceae
Description: long non-coding RNA (PDAC_LNC008613)
Source: RNAcentral
GAGAGAGGCUCAUGGUCCAUCUAUGCCCCGAGCAGCUGAGUCAGAGGUAUCGGCACAGAGUCAUCCAGCUCAGCGAUGUCCACGCCAGACUCAGUCCCAUCAGGCUCGACCUCCCCUCGCUACUUAUGCUAGGAGGAUGAGGACUAGAUCACAGCCAUUAGAUACCCCCUAGGCUGAUGUUAGCACUAUGAUUAGUGCCUAAAAUUAAUCUAGUUCUCAUAUGUAUUUUGUGUUGAUCAUGUACUUUGCACUUUGAUUGAAGAACAUUGUAUUUUUGGCAUUAAUGUACUAUAAUAUUCUAUUUUGAUCAAUGAAACUUGACUGUUUAUUAUUUACUGUGUCUACUUAUCUAUUGCCUUGCACCUAUUUGAUGAUAACAAAAAAGGGGAGAAGCAAGGAAAGAAAAAAGUUGCAAUAAGUUGACAAACAAGGUUGAAAAUUAUAAUAGAGAUAAUAUACACUUAAGGGGAAGCGAUAUGUAACAAUGAAAAUGUUAAAGUCCUAACUCUCAAUCAAAUUUCAGAAUUUGGCACAUACUUUUCAUACCUCGAUACAUAAUCUGAAACUCUUGCUUUAUCUCAAAUUUUUGAAGUUUCAUCUUUAACCAAAUAUAAAAGAAAGGGGGAGUAAAUUAAAAAGUUCAAAUGGCAAUAUUUGGAUGAAAAAGGGGAGAAUUCACUCUCAAAUUUGAAAAGCUGAAAUUCAACAACUUGAGCUCUUCUAAAACUGAUUUUUAAGUUAAGUAACAAUCGGCUCAUACUUAAUAUUUUGUAAUCAUCAAAAAGGGGGAGAUNN